AACCAGCACCUCAAGUGGUCAGGAGGAUUAUUGGGCCUAAAGCAUCCGUAGCCGGCUCUGUAAGUUUUCGGUUAAAUCUAUAUGCUCAACGUAUAGGCUGCCGAAAAUACUGCACAGCUAGGGAAUGGGAGAGGUAGACGGUACUCGGUAGGAAGGGGUAAAAUCCUUUGAUCUAUCGAUGACCACCUGUGGCGAAGGCAGUCUACUACGUAUAUACUGACGCUCAUGGACGAAAGCGUGGGGAGCGAACAGG
RNAcentral lists this ribosomal RNA (253 nucleotides) under uncultured archaeon. Its description in RNAcentral is "partial 16S ribosomal RNA". It matches the Rfam family "Archaeal small subunit ribosomal RNA", at positions 474 to 727 of the family's 1478-position model. The record is from RNAcentral.